RNAcentral lists this ribosomal RNA (617 nucleotides) under uncultured bacterium. RNAcentral's name for it is "bacterial SSU rRNA". It matches the Rfam family "Bacterial small subunit ribosomal RNA", at positions 144 to 779 of the family's 1533-position model. The record is from RNAcentral.
UAACAGUUAGAAAUGACUGCUAAUACCGCAUAAGACCACGGUACCGCAUGGUACAGUGGUAAAAACUCCGGUGGUAUGAGAUGGACCCGCGUCUGAUUAGGUAGUUGGUGGGGUAACGGCCUACCAAGCCGACGAUCAGUAGCCGACCUGAGAGGGUGACCGGCCACAUUGGGACUGAGACACGGCCCAGACUCCUACGGGAGGCAGCAGUGGGGAAUAUUGCACAAUGGAGGAAACUCUGAUGCAGCGACGCCGCGUGAAGGAUGAAGUAUUUCGGUAUGUAAACUUCUAUCAGCAGGGAAGAAAAUGACGGUAUUUGUUUAAGAAGCCCCGGCUAACUACGUGCCAGCAGCCGCGGUAAUACGUAGGGGGCAAGCGUUAUCCGGAUUUACUGGGUGUAAAGGGAGCGUAGACGGUUUUGCAAGUCUGAAGUGAAAGCCCGGGGCUUAACCCCGGGACUGCUUUGGAAACUGUAGGACUAGAGUGCAGGAGAGGUAAGUGGAAUUCCUAGUGUAGCGGUGAAAUGCGUAGAUAUUAGGAGGAACACCAGUGGCGAAGGCGGCUUACUGGACUGUAACUGACGUUGAGGCUCGAAAGCGUGGGGAGCAAACAGGAUU